GGGUAGCAAUAUUCGCUGGUUUUAGCGGCGAAAGGGUGCGUAACACGUGGGUAAUCUGCCGUGAAGAUGGGGAUAACUUGUCGAAAGACGAGCUAAUACCGAAUGUGAAUGCCGGGGGGCCACCUCUGGUAUUUGAAGCCGGGGACCGCAAGGCCUGGCGCUUCACGAUGAGCCCGCGGCCUAUCAGCUAGUUGGCGGGGUAACGGCCCACCAAGGCGAAGACGGGUAGCUGGUCUGAGAGGACGACCAGCCACACUGGAACUGAGACACGGUCCAGACACCUACGGGUGGCAGCAGUCGAGAAUUUUUCACAAUGGGCGCAAGCCUGAUGGAGCGACGCCGCGUGGGGGAUGAAGGGCUUCGGCCCGUAAACCCCUGUCAUUUGCGAACAAUUCUUUUCCGAUAACACCGGAAGAGUUGAUGGUAGCGAAAGAGGAAGGGACGGCUAACUCUGUGCCAGCAGCCGCGGUAAUACAGAGGUCCCAAGCGUUGUUCGGAUUCACUGGGCGUAAAGGGUGCGUAGGUGGUGAGGUAAGUCGGAUGUGAAAUCUCUGAGCUCAACUCAGAAAUGGCAUUGGAAACUACCUU
RNAcentral lists this ribosomal RNA (588 nucleotides) under uncultured Verrucomicrobiota bacterium. Its description in RNAcentral is "bacterial SSU rRNA". It matches the Rfam family "Bacterial small subunit ribosomal RNA", at positions 74 to 639 of the family's 1533-position model. Lineage: Bacteria; Pseudomonadati; Verrucomicrobiota. The record is from RNAcentral.